GCCGGGUUAGCUGAGUUGGUUCAAGCGACUGAUUCGUAAUCAGUAGUAGGUGGGUUCGAUUCCCAUACCCGGCUCAA
RNAcentral lists this transfer RNA (77 nucleotides) under bacterium TMED217. Its description in RNAcentral is "tRNA-Thr". It matches the Rfam family "tRNA". From Rfam's summary of the family: Transfer RNA (tRNA) molecules are approximately 80 nucleotides in length. The record is from RNAcentral. RNAcentral also lists the same sequence under 1 other name.